CCGACGGUGAGGGAUGAAAGCUGGGGGCACGAACCGGAUUAGAUACCCGGGUAGUCCCAGCCGUAAACGAUGCUCGCUAGGUGUCAGGCAUGGCGCGACCGUGUCUGGUGCCGCAGGGAAGCCGUGAAGCGAGCCACCUGGGAAGUACGGCCGCAAGGCUGAAACUUAAAGGAAUUGGCGGGGGAGCACAACAACGGGUGGAGCCUGCGGUUUAAUUGGACUCAACGCCGGACAACUCACCGGGGGUGACAGCAAUAUGUAGGCCAAGCUGAAGACUUUGCCUGAAUCGCUGAGAGGAGGUGCAUGGCCGUCGCCAGUUCGUACUG
RNAcentral lists this ribosomal RNA (326 nucleotides) under uncultured archaeon. Its description in RNAcentral is "bacterial SSU rRNA". It matches the Rfam family "Archaeal small subunit ribosomal RNA", at positions 691 to 1016 of the family's 1478-position model. The record is from RNAcentral.